Molecule: long non-coding RNA, 366 nt
Organism: Bubalus bubalis (water buffalo)
Lineage: Eukaryota; Metazoa; Chordata; Mammalia; Artiodactyla; Bovidae
Exons: 2
Source: RefSeq, a predicted model, not a curated record
AAAAUCACCUAUUUUGGAGCAACCUUCUGAAGCAGCCUGGAUCUCUAUGCACAGAGGCAAUCAGAGAAGCGCAGAGAGGGUAUGUCCGUGCCCUUGGUCACACAGCCUGUCUACAGUGGUCGGCUAACUGAUGAACCACGCCUGAGGUGGGAGGGAGGGGAAGCCGCAUCUGUGCAGACGUGGAAAACUCAGCGCGGAAGCCCUGGCCUCUCAGUCAUGGGAGGAGGGGCUCCUUCAGAAGCUGAGACGUGAACCAGAAAAGUCACUUCUGUGGGUUCCCUUGAGGUCCACCCCCGGCCCACCCGGGGCCCACCACUUACGCCGGUCGGUGCGGAUGGGGUCUGACCAAAGGGUCUGGUCCUGUAC